This 253-nucleotide ribosomal RNA is filed under the name uncultured bacterium. RNAcentral describes it as "partial 16S ribosomal RNA". It matches the Rfam family "Bacterial small subunit ribosomal RNA", at positions 524 to 776 of the family's 1533-position model. The record is from RNAcentral.
UACAGAGGUGCCGAGCGUUAGGCGGAAUCACUGGGCUUAAAGCGCGUGUAGGUGGAUCGUUAAGUGUCUUGUGAAAUCCCACGGCUCAACCGUGGAACUGCUGGGCAUACUGACGAUCUUGAGGCACUCAGGGGCUGUCGGAACAAAUGGUGGAGCGGUGAAAUGCGUAGAUAUCAUUUGGAACGCCAAUGGUGAAAACAGACAGCUGGGGGUGUCCUGACACUGAGACGCGAAAGCCAGGGGAGCAAACGGG